AACGCACCUUGCGCCCUUUGGCUAUUCCGAAGGGCAUGCCUGUUUGAGUAUCAUGAACACCUCAACUCUCAUGGCUUGCCAUGACGAGCUUGGACUUUGGGGGUCUUGCCGGCCUGCGGUCGGCUCCUCUCAAAUAAAUCAGCUUACCAGUGUUUGGUGGCAUCACAGGUGUGAUAACUAUCUACGCUUGUGGUUUUCCACCAGGUAACCUUCAGUGAUGGAGGUUUGCUGGGGCUCAUAAAUGUCUCUCCUCAGUGAGGACAGCUCUUUGAACGUUUGAUCUCAAAUCAGGUAGGACUACCCGCUGAACUUAA
Molecule: unclassified non-coding RNA, 314 nt
Filed under: uncultured Thelephoraceae
Lineage: Eukaryota; Fungi; Basidiomycota; Agaricomycetes; Thelephorales; Thelephoraceae
Description: sequence contains ITS2
Source: RNAcentral